This 1495-nucleotide long non-coding RNA is filed under the name Mus spicilegus (steppe mouse). RNAcentral's name for it is "lncRNA (ENSMSIG00000007900.1)". Lineage: Eukaryota; Metazoa; Chordata; Mammalia; Rodentia; Muridae. The record is from RNAcentral.
CAGUGUUUCUUUAUGAUGUCAGUGGUUCCACCAGGCAGCCAUGGUGACUGCCUGCUCUGUAAUCAGGAACACCAAGGCUCGGUGAGGAGCAUAAGCCUGGUCAGGUCAGGCCUGGCGGGGGAUUCGAUCCUCUGCCUGAAACCUUGGAGUGUCUGAAUGGAAAGGAGAGCGAUGAAUCAGCUCUGGUCCCCAUGCCUGUCAAAUCCUGCUUCCCAGGAUCUGAGGAGCUGCAACAAGAGUAUUCUGCACAUAGUGUGUCUGUAUACACCAUGUGAGUGUAUCUGGCUACACCCAGAUAACCUCAGUGCUUUCAAAGCCAUCAUCCCAACCCAGAAGGCCGAGGCCAGAGUGAGGCCAGUGAUCUCACCGUGGCCUUAUCUAUGUCGCUUGGGCAUGAGACUAACUCUCUCCUCAAAGCUGGGCCCAUUGCCUCCGUUCAUCACUGAACCCUCAAGUGAGAUGAGAGUUGUCAGGGGACAGACAGGAGACUACUAAAGGCAUGGCUAAGCAAAGCGAUCUUGGUGGCCAUGCGUACAGAAAAAUUGAGAUCUCAUCUGUGACCUGAAUGGAAUGGCAGCCUCAGAGGAAAUGGUGGCGCCUCUAGGCUGAGGGGUGACUUGCUUGCUUGGUUUGGGCUGGAGUGUUUGAAGUGAGAUCUCAUUCUGUAGCCCUGGCUGCCUUCCAAUUCCCAACUCUCACUGCUUCAAUAUUUUGAUCGCAGGAUCCCAGGUGAGCUGCCAUGCCCAGUGGGAGGGUGACUUUGGGGGGGGGUGUGCGUAGAACCUAGGUAAAGCAGCACCAGAUGCAGAGAUGGGGAGGGGUUUCCCUGCUGUCUGCAAGCCCCACAUCUGCUCUCUUCAGGGACACAGAGGAAAGGUCACUCCUGGAGAUACCACGGAUCGAUUUGCUUCUAAAAGAUCUUUUAAUUUUUUUUCAAAAGGCAUCUUCCUCUCAGACAGACAGAUUGAGAGUUUGUCACAGCCCCUGUCAUGACUUUGCAGGUCCAGAGACACCCCCUAGACCCACAUCCAGGCCAAUAGUGAAGACGUAGGAGUAUCUUGCCUCUGCCCUAAAAUGGGUUUUGCUAAGACCUGCCUCUUCUUCGGCCAGGAUUCUGCUCGACCCUGGCUGGGCACAUGGUCACCAAAGCUGGUACUCGAGGCUCAGGGGUGAAGAGGGCAGCUUGGUGAGCCCCAGGUAUCUAAGCUGAUAUUUUAAACUGACUCUUAGGAGAGUGUGGACAUCCCUCUUGUUGCAGGAUAUUCUGUGAGGCGGGUGGAGAUGUCCCCAAACCACUACUAUUCUGCUCAGUUUUGUGAUCUGUGAAAUGGGUCAGUGGAUACUGAGAAGGGGUGAGCUUGAAGUAGUGUCUCUUCCAAACCCCCAAACCCAAAGGCUGAGAGGAACAGAUGGGCAAGCCCUGUAAAUGCCAUGUCCUCCCCUUCACGGACAGCACAGUCCCUGGACUCAUGAUCACGUGACUUGAAAGUUUACA